UUUGAGAUGUGUGUGCUUAUUUUGUAGCUCCAUUAGUUGAUAGCUUACAUGUCAGUUUUUAUUUCCCAGCUGUCUCCUCCUUCACCUGCUGCCUCCAAAAAUCAUGAUCAGCUUCUUGGUUUGACUAGCAAGACCUCAAAAUGUGAUGUGACAGGUGACUUGCCAGCUCCUCUGAGCCAAUUUCUAGCAUCCUAUCAGAGAAAAACAACAGCAUCACAUGUGGGGUCAGGAAGAAGUUGCUAGCACUGAAAAGGAGUGCAGACCUUCACUGGACCCCCAGAAGCUGGACUAGGAUUUGGCUUGAGCCAGGACCAGGUAAGUGUUUAUUCAAUGUCAAACAGAGAUAGAGGCUACUAUUUGAGGUA
Molecule: long non-coding RNA, 365 nt
Filed under: Vulpes vulpes (red fox)
Lineage: Eukaryota; Metazoa; Chordata; Mammalia; Carnivora; Canidae
Description: lncRNA (ENSVVUG00000012647.1)
Source: RNAcentral